Molecule: ribosomal RNA, 328 nt
Filed under: uncultured eukaryote
Lineage: Eukaryota
Description: partial 18S ribosomal RNA
Rfam family: Eukaryotic small subunit ribosomal RNA
Source: RNAcentral
CCAUUAGAUGUCCGGGGCUGCACGCGCGCUACACUGAAGGAAUCAGCGUGCUAAAACCAUUGUCGAAAGGCAUUGGUAAACCCAUUAAAAUCCUACGUGAUUGGGAUCGGGAAUUGCAAUUAUUUCCCUUGAACGAGGAAUUCCCAGUAAGUGUGGGUCAUAAGCUCGCGUUGAUUACGUCCCUGCCCUUUGUACACACCGCCCGUCGCUGCCCGGGACUGAGCCGUUUCGAGAAAAGCGGGGACUGCUGCUGUCGGGGCUUUCGGGCCUUGGCUUCGGUGGAAACCGCUUUAAUCGCAGUGGCUUGAACCGGGCAAAAGUCGUANCA